This 253-nucleotide ribosomal RNA is filed under the name uncultured bacterium. RNAcentral describes it as "partial 16S ribosomal RNA". It matches the Rfam family "Bacterial small subunit ribosomal RNA", at positions 524 to 776 of the family's 1533-position model. The record is from RNAcentral.
UACGUAGGGUGCAGGCGUUAAUCGGAAUUACUGGGCGUAAAGCGUGCGCAGGCGGUCUUUUAAGUCAGAUGUGAAAUCCCCGGGCUUAACCUGGGAACUGCGUUUGAAACUGAAAGGCUAGAGUGUGGCAGAGGGGGGUGGAAUUCCACGUGUAGCAGUGAAAUGCGUAGAGAUCGGGAGGAACACCUGUGGCGAAGGCGGCCGACUGGGCCGACCCUGACGCUGAGGCGCGAAGGCGUGGGGAGCGAACGGG